CAAAUACGUCUCGGCAGGAGGAAUUAUAUUAUUUAAAAAAAAACUCGCUUUGCGUUGGAUUUCUUUAAGACGGACCCUCAAAAUGAGUGGCGACUGAAGGUCGCAAUUCACAUUAUAUUCAGUUUUGCAGCAAAAUAGAAAAUUGAAAAAUAACAUAAGGUUUUAUAAACUGAUAAAAGGCCCAUAAAUGUCAGAUAAUGCAUGUCAUGAUAAAGAUCUGCAACAACAAAUGCCAUUCCAUGUCUCGCGGUGAAGCCGAUCCAUGAGCUGCCAGAAAAUUCAAGAUCUCCAGCAAUGCUCACCAGUUCCACAAGCAAAAAAAGAAAGAAAAGGCACUCAACAGGAAAGCGGGCCUGAAUUCCACUUUCACUUGCAAUAGACAUAAACAAUCCAACCUACCUACAAUGAUCCACAGGAUCAUGUGAGGGCGCUGCAGACUUGGUCUUCCACAUAAUGCAACAAAUGACCAACUGUAUUUGGAACCUAAAAUGCAAUCACGCAUACCCCAAUGAUUUCUCCUUAGAAACUCUGGAUACUUUCUUCUUUCCUUUUCCCAGUACAAGAAACUUGAGAAACUCAACAACUCACUUCUUUGAUUCAAUGAGUUCGGCGUCAUUGCUUCAAGCGAAGUUAUGACAAGAACCAUUAUAUCAUGCAUAAAACCAUCUAACUAAAAGAGAUAAAAAGAAGGCGGCUGCAAUAACCU
RNAcentral lists this unclassified non-coding RNA (706 nucleotides) under Hevea brasiliensis (rubber tree). Lineage: Eukaryota; Viridiplantae; Streptophyta; Magnoliopsida; Malpighiales; Euphorbiaceae. The record is from RNAcentral.